AGGUUGGGCUGGCUGGCACUACAGUCCUUAGUCUUGUAGUUAUCGUCUAGCUGUGGUGGCUGUAUGCUGUGUGUAGCUCGUGCGGUAGUGUAAUUAGUACGCUCCAGUCGAUCCAUACAGUUGGAUCAGUCUUCUGCCAGCGACGGCAACAUAUUUUUUAAGUCGACAAGGACAGCAGGAAAUCAGUGUGCAGCCAGAGCGCAUUGGGCAUUAUGGUGCCCCCUCGAAAGCGGCUGCUGUUCGCCGCUGUAA
Molecule: long non-coding RNA, 252 nt
Organism: Drosophila busckii
Lineage: Eukaryota; Metazoa; Arthropoda; Insecta; Diptera; Drosophilidae
Exons: 3
Source: RefSeq, a predicted model, not a curated record